This 403-nucleotide ribosomal RNA is filed under the name uncultured Microsporidia. Its description in RNAcentral is "SSU rRNA". It matches the Rfam family "Microsporidia small subunit ribosomal RNA", at positions 1 to 405 of the family's 1311-position model. Lineage: Eukaryota; Fungi; Microsporidia. The record is from RNAcentral.
CACCAGGUUGAUUCUGCCUGACGCAGAUGCUAGUUUCUAAGAUUAAGCCAUGCAUGUUGACUGAAAGCAAUGGAAGGACAGACGGCUCAGUAAGACUGCGAUGAUUUGGUCUGGUUGGAUCGAUAACUAUUGGAAACGAUAGCUAAGAGAGCAGAAUAAGUUGCAGACUUAUCAGCUAGUUGGUAGUGUAAAGGACUACCAAGGCGAUGACGGGAAACGGGAAAUCAGGGUUUUGUUCCGGAGAGGGAGCCUGAGAGAUGGCUCCCACGUCCAAGGACGGCAGCAGGCGCGAAAAUUGCCCACUCAUUGUUGUGGAGGCAGUUAUGAAACGUGAGAAGAUCGACGGAGAUUAGAAAUGUCCGAGAAUGGAAUUGGAGGGCAAGUUUGGUGCCAGCAGCCGCGG